UCUAAACGGUAGUAUGAAAUUGGAAUUUCAGGGAAGUUGGGUGAAAUGCCCGCGCUGUCCCGCAACUGUAACGUGGAGCAUCGCACAGCAAUGCCACGGAUGAAAAUCUCAUCUGGAAGGUUGUGCGAAGGUGAUGAAACGGAGCCAGGAUAUCUGAUUUGACCUAAAAAAUAGU
Molecule: non-coding RNA, 175 nt
Filed under: Acidithrix ferrooxidans
Lineage: Bacteria; Bacillati; Actinomycetota; Acidimicrobiia; Acidimicrobiales; Acidimicrobiaceae
Source: RNAcentral